CCUACGGGUGGCAGCAGUGAGGAAUAUUGGUCAAUGGCCGGAAGGCUGAACCAGCCAUGCCGCGUGAAGGUCAGUGCCCUAUGGGCGUUAAACUUAUUUUGUGCGGGAGCAAUAAUGGUCACGUGUGGCCAGACGAGAGUACCGUACGAAUAAGCAUCGGCUAACUCCGUGCCAGCAGCCGCGGUAAUACGGGGGAUGCAAGCGUUAUCCGGAUUUAUUGGGUUUAAAGGGUGCGUAGGCUGUGAGGUAAGUCAGCGGUGAAAUGCCCCCGCUCAACGGGGUGAAGUGCCAUUGAUACUGGCUGGCUGGAAUGCGGAUGACGUGGGAGGAAUGUGUGGUGUAGCGGUGAAAUGCAUAGAUAUCACACAGAACACCGAUUGCGAAGGCAUCUCACGAAUCCGCGAUUGACGCUGAUGCACGAAAGCGUGGGUAUCAAACAGGAUUAGAUACCCGAGUAGUC
This 460-nucleotide ribosomal RNA is filed under the name uncultured bacterium. Its description in RNAcentral is "partial 16S ribosomal RNA". It matches the Rfam family "Bacterial small subunit ribosomal RNA", at positions 338 to 795 of the family's 1533-position model. The record is from RNAcentral.